Molecule: long non-coding RNA, 6104 nt
Filed under: Olea europaea subsp. europaea
Lineage: Eukaryota; Viridiplantae; Streptophyta; Magnoliopsida; Lamiales; Oleaceae
Source: RNAcentral
UGUAACUAAAUAGCACUACAGAGAAGAAAUUUUGUUAAAUCUAAAUGAAAAAUAGUGUAAAAUAAAUUUAGUGAUAAAUAACUUGAAAUAUGCUUAGGAACAAAAUCUCUGAAGAAGGAAGAUACAGAUAAUAAUCACUUACCUAUGAAAAAUGGUAGAAGUUUGAUGAAUUUCUGACGAACAAUUGCAUUGAACACAUGAACCAUCAGAAUAUGAAAAUAAGAUUCAUAAAAUGCAGAUUCACCAUUAAGUUUUACGUAGUAAACCUUUAAAAAUCUUGUGUUGAGAAUCUAAUUUAAACACAUAGGGGUCUUAGUUGAUUGGAUUGUCAACACAAGAUUUUGACAGAUUUAAUAGGUAAAAUGUAAUGAUUAAUUGGCAUUUUAUAACUAUAAUUUACAUAUUCUGAUUUCGAGUUUCUAUAAGAGCUGAAGAAAAUGAUAAAAAAAUCUGAACAAGAGAAAUUGUUUAGUCACAAAUUUGUACAAGUAGUUAGAUUCGACAAAAACAUAUAUUUAAAACAAGAAUACACAUAAUACAAUAAUGAAAGAAACUAAGUCCUCGUUUGGCCCCUUUUUUCUUUUAAUAAUUUUUUCUUCUCACUCUUAUUUUUUACCAUACAAUCUUUCAUAAAAUAAUAUUAUACAUAGACUAAAAUUUUUUCCUUCUUCUUCAACCACAUUCUACAAAAAAUAAAAAAUAAAAAAAAUUGUAUAUUAUUCUAAAAAUUAAAAUUUGAAAGAAAGGGGGCCAAAUGUGGGCUAAAUUAUACAGAAGAUGAAUAAAUCUUUUCUUAAUUUCAUUUAGUGUAAGUAAAGAAACAAAGUACGAACUAUUUGUUAUCUUACUGAAAAAACAGAGAAUGCAAAAUAAUUAAACCUUUCGGAUUAUAUUAUGGAAACCAUAAUUUAAAGUAAGAGCUAAUUUUUAUAUGAAUAAGGAUGGAUUAUUGUUAAUUCCAGAAGAUAGUAUUAUCUUAAUAUAAUAUGUGAUUGUAUUAAUGUUGUUAUGCUGCCAAUGAAAUAACUUAGAUAUAUAUCAGAUUUUGCAAAUAAAAUUCGCAGAUGAAGGAUUUCUCUCUCUCUCUCUCUUUUUCAUGAUUUUCAUAAUAUAGUUUAAUAGAACAUAUUAGAAUAUAUGCGACAUAGUUAAGGGAUUGCAAACAUAAAUAAAACUUUGAAUUAUUUUUGAAGGAAAAUAGAUUAACUAAUGUAUAUGUAUAUAAAAAUGUAAAGUAAUCUAUUGUGGAUCAGUUAUGUAAGCGUAAAAAUUAUUUCAUUUAAGUAUUCGAUAGUUUAAUGUAGAGAAUCAUUUUAUUAUCCAUUAUUUUGUAGUUCAAAUAAAUUUGUUCUAAAUUUCGUUAAAACAAUAAGCAGUUUGAAUCUCAUACAUAAAAUACAAAAAACGAAAAAAUAUUUGACGAUUGUGAAUCUAAAUGAGAACUGUAAGAUUGAACUAAAAUUCAGCAAGAUUUGUCUUAUGGAAGAAUACCUGAUGUUUGUCACAAGCAACAGAAGAAAUACUAUCUUCUCUCAUUUGGAUUCUCAUCGACAAUCAUUGUAAUAUGCAAAAUAGGAAAAUUAGUAAAACAAAUGUAGAAUUGUAAUUUAAACUCUGAAAUCAAUGAAUUGUUAAAUUUCAUAAAGUGACAGUAAACAAUUUUCAAGAACAAUUCCAUAAAGUGACAGUAAACAAUUUUCAAUUAAAGUAAUCUAAUUUUUGCAUUCUAUUUGAACAAAUUAGCUUUUGAUUUAGUAGAGUGUUGGGAAAGUGAUAGACAAAGAGGAAAUGCAAUAAAUUGAAGAUAUAAUAUUUGCAAAUAUGUUUUAAAUUGAGAAGAAAAUAAAGCAUAAUGAAAAUUAAUAAUAGUUUUUCAAAGAAUACAACAUAUUCACAACAUCAUUUUACGAUUUCAGCUUUACCUAUACUGUAGGAGUAUUACAAAUGUUUAUAUAUCCGAAAUGGAACAUGUAGUUUGGAGUAUAUAGGUUUGUAAAUAAUUGAAAUGUGCAUGAAAGUUUAAAUAGAAUGGAAUGGUAUAUUUUAACUUCAAAUGCAAUUUAAACACCAGUUCUUACAACUUUAGUCAUGCAAAUCAAAACCAUUAGGAAAUAGAAAAAUACAUAUAGAAAAGAUAAAUACAUUAAAAAAUAAUGUGACCACUGGAAAAUAACGAAAGUGAACCCACUACAUAAACAAGUAGGAAAAUACUUCUAUCAAUGGCUCCGGUGAAAAUUCAAAGGGGGGAAACAGAUAAAGUAUAGAAAAAAAUAAAUAUUACCUUGCUUCAGAGAGUCUUGAGAAUAGAAGAUUAAGAUUUCUUGAUUGUUGGCAAAAUGAUGAAGCAGAUUACCUACCACCUAACCAUAGUCAACAUGUAAGCAUCAUCAUUGACAUAUUUGAGCUAUAACACUUUACAAAGAAACUACUCUCGUGAAAGCUAUCAUCCCAAAAGUUGUAACACAUCAAGCUACUGCGCUAACAUAUCUCUUGGAAUAAAUGCAACUUUAUGUCCCAUCUUUAUAUGGAGAAAAAUGAAUGUUAACUGCAUAUUGGCUAAAUUAACUAUGUAGAUGAAAUCAUUGAUCAUAAGCAAGCAUAGAGAAGGAAGAACUCAAAAAUUUGAAAAGAAUUAAUUUACUGAAUGAAUGAAUGAAUGUCAUUAAUCUUAUUGUUACCAUAAAACACAAAACUAUAAUUCCAUACGAUAGCACUGCUUCAGGAUUUCCCUAUUAUGCCAGUUGUGAUUUCAUAUCUAACACAACUUGACACCUAGAGAACUGACUCAGACAUUGAUGCUUAACUUAAUUGAAGAUUUACCUCAUGAUGUUUUCGAGAAGCUUGGCAUACAAGCCAAAGACCAUCGGAUUUCAUGACAACAUCACAAAUCUACAGACCAUUUGAUCAUGUUCAUUGUACGUACAUUUACAAAUAGGAUUAACUGUCUAAACUACAAGUCGAUCGAAAAUAUGAUUAGAAAUUCUAUUUCAAUGAUUUUGUAGUGCGUGUACAGAUAAAUUCAUUCUAAAGAGCAAAAUUUUCACAAGCAAAGUAAUCCCCAUUAAAACUAAGUUCACAUGAAAAGUACAAAUCAUGAUUCAAGUGUGUGAAAGUUUCCUAUUUCUGCACAUAAAGCUAAAACUUUUUUCAACUUUUUAAGUACAAAAUAUAUUUCCAAAAAAAUAGGGCUCAACAUAGCCUUAAGAAUAUUUGUAGUAGAAUUGUCGUGCUUCUCCUUUUUUUUUUUUUUUUUCAAAGAACAAAAACAGAUUUAGAACCUGUUUAGUGUGGCUUAAAAAUUUGAUAAACAAUUAAGUCAAAGUGAACAGUAAUUUUAACUGCACAUUUUGCAAGACCCACAACUUUUACCAACUUUUUAGUUGCCAAUUUCAUCAACUUUUAUCAAAAUCUAAUAAAAAUCUAAAUUUUAGCUAUGCUAGAAAGGGGCUUAGUGUUUCGUAGGAAGUAUCCCCAAAAUCUUUGGUGCCCAGAGGGCCAAAAUUAAACCCAAACCCCAUAUCCAUCUUAUAAGAUUUCUGCUACACAUGAAAUCCUUUAGACUCAAUUCCCAACAAAAGAAUGGGUAAAUCUCUUGCUUUUAGUAUCUAUUUUGUAUGCAUACAGGCCCACUUUUCUGAAAUUAUGUUCAUAAUUUUCGGUUACUAUCUUGGUUAAUUCUACAAAUAUUAUCUGUGUAAUGUAUAUAUGAAGAAAAUUUUGUAUCAUAUGCAGAGUUUUGUUUGCAAUCUACUAUGAUUUUAUAUAUGUGGGAAAAAGGUAAAUGACUUCUUUCAACAAAGCUACCAUCAUUCAAGUGGAAGAAUCUUAUGAAGGCAACAAAUGCAAUGUAGUCAUGACUUUUAGAGCAUGCUUGGCUAAGCUUAAAAUAAGUAAUAGUUACUUUUAAUUAAAUUUUUGGUUUCAAAGAUGUUGGGAUAUUUUACUUUUUCUCACUUCUAAGUAACGAAAUUUCUUAUUUCAAAUCUGUCUUGUGUUGGUGUGAAAUUUAAGUAACUUCCUUAUUUCCAAGUUCAAUCAACCAAAAAAAAAAUGUUUUUUUAAACUUAUGUACUGCUUAAGCUUAGCCAAACAUGAUCUCAACCACUUUUUAACGAAAAGUUCAUGAAAGAUUGAUAGGGUUUCAUGAAGGAGGACAAAUUGAAAGGAAGAAACAUUUAAGUAAAAAAUCAUAAAUAGCUCAUUUUUCAAAAAACCAUGUUAGUAGAGGUGUUGUAAUUUUUUCUUUCCCUUUCAAACAGUGUAGCAAACAAGCAUGAUUUUAGUUUUAAAGAACAUGAACAGUAAAAAGUUACAAAAUAAAAACACAGUUAAACAAAUGUACAUAUAAAUGUUGUAUAUGCAGGCAUCUAGCAGCUCCAACCCCUUUUCUUUAGUAAAAUCACAUCAUAUAGGUUUCAACCGAAAAAACCCUAACAUAAAACCAGAGAAGCUAAAGAUGAGAAAAUGUUAAGAGCUGUACUGGCAAGAGAAAGAGGGCCAGUCGUAGAGCACUGGUACCAGCUGCUUCUAAUGAAUAUACCUUUACACUUAUUAUAGCUUGCAUUAUUCUUCUACUUAUGACUAUAUUCAAAAUUCAAUUCUGUAUGUUUUAAUUCGUCUCCUUCCAUCUUCUAUAACACGAAACCUAAAUGAUUUAUUUAUUUUUUUCCCCCACUUUUCAUCAAUAUGGGAGAUAUUAAUGGUAAAGAGUUCCAACGUAAGUAAUGAACCUCUUAACUUUCUCAUCCACCAUGCAAAAGCUUUUUAUGUGUUAUUCUUCAGCAUUUCUGUUAUAUUUAUCUCCUACAGGUUGUGACAUUUUUGUUCUUGUAAAAUAGAUUGUGUCUUCCACUGUUAGCUACUAAAGCUGUGUUAUUGUUGAGAAAUCGCUUUAUAGAUUCCCAAAUCUCAUAAUUUUCAAAUAGUAUGCCUAUUAUUUUACCAGUGAACUGAAUUUUUUCCCCUUUCUGUUGACCAGAUUGAUCAAACCGUGCCUAACACAUUAAUUGUAGCAAAUUGUGAUGUUGUGUAGCCUAAAAGCAUAUAGUAAAUGUAAGUUUAUAACUGUACAUAAUUUUUAACCUAAAUGUAUUAUUAACAUGUUCAUCUGAUUCUUCAACAGCCUCAGUUUAAAGAUCCUCUCACCGGUAGAUCUUAGACUCUUAAACACUUCCUCAAAUGAGAAUAUUCUCCUACACAGAAACAAAGAAGAAAAAUAUACACAAAACCGGUAAAAAAAGACAUAACUACUGUAAAACAAUUUACCCGAAAUCGAAAAAUUGAGCUUAAAUCCUUCGUGAAGAAUAAUCAGAAAAAUCUAAAAAGUAAACAAGAAAUCUUGAUUUAAGGUUUGUGAUUCUUGAUGCACAAGAGAAUUCAAACGAAAAAUAAAGAAAUUAAAAGACGAUGUAUACAAAUAUGAAAAUAAGCCCAACACUAUAAACUCCCAACCACCAACAUCGAACCAAAAAAUCUGAUAUCUAUGGCCAAAAAAAUCAACUGUAAUACCCCAAAAAAAUAAUGAAUUCUAACCCAACUCAGAUAAUAAAGAUAGAGGCAUCUAUUUCACCAAUUAUAACCCUAAACUAAACUAAACAUGAAGUUUUCUGAAUUUUUGGGAAACUUUCACAAAAAUUGAAACAAACUUAAAAGGGAAUGAAUCUAAGCACCAAGAAUAUGGAGCUGGAAAAAAUGAGACAAAAAUGCAAAGAGAAAAAGUAUGAGAAGAAUUUGCUUGAGGUCAAAACUCUUCAAUUUCCUAUAGAAAUGUCCCCCGUUUGUUGUAGAUUUUCACCAAAGGUCCAAAAAAAAAAACAAAAAUCGAGCGCUUAACUAUAUAGAUCUAAAGAAAUUGGAAGAAGAAUACACAAUGACAGUAAAACGGGGUGAGGAUUCUAAUUGCAAGUGUAAAGAUCAAUUUAGGGGAAAUUAUUUGACACCAAUUUCUAUGAGAAUUGAGAGACUGAAGAGGAAAUUAGGGUUAAGGAAAUGGGUUUGGAAAGAAAAUGGGUGGUUUUGUCAUUUUUUACUAAGAAAGUAUCUAGAUAAUGAACAAUGCACACCGAUUACGUGUUACACAGAGGUGCCAGAAAUUAACAGUAAUG